AAACUUAGAAUCACCACCUCUACAAUAUUGCAAUCCACAUCUAAAAAGUCCUAAUCACAGGAUCACAUUAUACAAUAUCCUAGCUUAGCAACCAAAUUCACCUAGCCAACAUCUUAGCAAAUCAUGUCUGACAUUCCCCUCUACCAACCUCAUUUCUUAACAUAAAUAAAUGUGUAUGCUUUACCUUGGGAGUAUCGAUCACAAGACACAUGGACUCUUACCCCAACAGGUAUCUGAGUAAACAGGUAGUCUUGUUCUGGUUUCUUUUACUCUAUAUCUCCCUUCUCUGAAUCCUUUUUUAUCUCAAUUCCAAUGAACAAAGAUGCUGAUGCAGUCCAUCUUAUUCACCUUUUUUUCGAUUUUUUUUUAUUAUUAUUUUAUUAUUAUUAUUAUUAUUUUUUCUUUUUCUUUUCUUGACAAAGAGUAGGCGAAUAGUGGGGUCAUCGGUAAUGUAUCUACCCCUCUAAACCGCCUGAAAUCAUCUCAAUCUUUUAUUUAAUUUUAUUAAGAUGCCAAAGGGAGGAGAUAAGGAAACCAAAAUCACUCAGACUUUUAUCUUUCAGACCUGAAGGAGAAAUCCGAUCUAGUGUAUACCAAGCCCCAAGACAAGCAGUUAAGUCAAAUUAGGCUGGAGGUCAGUUUCGGUUCCUUCAAACAAUCUCAGCAAGUAUGAACUUAGUUGACAGGUUGAUCCACUUUAGUAUCUUUAGUAGUAUCUGCAAUCAGUAAGUCUAGAAUUGUGCUAAAAAGUGGUUAAAUAACAAGUAUGAAUCUAAUAAGUUCAUUAUCCCCUUCUUGACUCAAUAAAAACAGAUUUUGAAAAUAUUUUAAAUAAGACUCAUAAAAGGUAGAUAAACGUUAGUAAUCC
This 868-nucleotide long non-coding RNA is filed under the name Brassica rapa (field mustard). Its description in RNAcentral is "long non-coding RNA (BRAP_LNC004962)". Lineage: Eukaryota; Viridiplantae; Streptophyta; Magnoliopsida; Brassicales; Brassicaceae. The record is from RNAcentral.